GGGUGGGAGGGCAACCUGCCUGCGACAUGUGUCACCCCGCUGAUCGCCAGUGUUGAUUCAGCUGAUCUGGCUGGCUAGGCAAGUGCCCCUUCCACCCUCGCCACGGCUCCUUGUGCAUCCCUCCCGAAGGCGCACACUGGGUCCUCUGGGAUGACCUUCCCCAAUAGAGGAGGACCGUUCUUCAGUCAAGGGUAUGCGACUAGCUGUGCUCCCCUGCUAGGACCUCCAGACGAGCUCUCAGGGUCCAUUUGUAGGAGAACGUAGGGUAAUCAAACUUCCAAGACUCCAGACACUUCCAAAUGAGGUGCUGCCUGUGCCAGUCUGCCUUACUUU
Molecule: unclassified non-coding RNA, 333 nt
Organism: Ursus americanus (American black bear)
Lineage: Eukaryota; Metazoa; Chordata; Mammalia; Carnivora; Ursidae
Gene: 7SK
Rfam family: 7SK RNA
About the family: 7SK was discovered as an abundant small nuclear RNA in the mid-70s but a possible function has only recently been suggested.
Source: Ensembl